CAUUUCUCAAACUUUAUCUUGCAUAGGAAUCAUUUGGAAGAUGUGUUAAAACAAAAAACCAGACUGCACAGUCCCACCACCAGAUUGAGUCAGACCUGAGAAUCUGCAUUUUUAACAAGGUCCAGAUCAUGCUGCCACUGACAAGGGAUCACACUUUGUGAACCACCGACCUCACCUAGUUAUGGACCAAGAUUAACAUUCAUGAAGCAAACGGAAGAGGAAUCAAGUGCAUCCAAGCAUAUAUCUGAAUUGGAAACUGAAUUAAAAUAAAAGAGAGA
Long non-coding RNA from Cercocebus atys (sooty mangabey), 278 nucleotides. RefSeq lists it as uncharacterized. Lineage: Eukaryota; Metazoa; Chordata; Mammalia; Primates; Cercopithecidae. The record is from RefSeq and is a predicted model, not a curated record. The transcript is spliced from 3 exons.